ACACCGGCAGCUCUAGUGGUAGCUGUUUUUAUUGGGCCUAAAGCGUUCGUAGCCGGUUUGGUAAGUCACUGGUGAAAUCCUGUAGCUUAACUAUGGGAAUUGCUGGAGAUACUGUUGAACUUGAGGUCGGGAGAGGUUAGCGGUACUCUCAGGGUAGAGGUGAAAUUCUGUAAUCCUGGGAGGACCACCUGUGGCGAAGGCGGCUAACUGGAACGAACCUGACGGUGAGGGACGAAAGCUAGGGGCGCGAACCGGAUUAGAUACCCGGGUAGUCCUAGCCGUAAACGAUGCGGACUUGGUGUUGGGAUGGCUUUGAGCCGCUCCGGUGCCGAAGGGAAGCUGUUAAGUCCGCCGCCUGGGAAGUACGGUCGCAAGACUGAAACUUAAAGGAAUUGGCGGGG
Molecule: ribosomal RNA, 401 nt
Filed under: uncultured bacterium
Lineage: Bacteria
Description: partial 16S ribosomal RNA
Rfam family: Archaeal small subunit ribosomal RNA
Source: RNAcentral